UCUCUCUUCUUCUUUCUUAAGUCUCUCACUUUCUUGAAAUUCAAUUUUUCUCACUCUUUUUUUGUUAAAGAUUACAGUCCAUAGAUUGAUAAUGACGAUUAUAUCAAAUACGCUUUCAUUGAAGCAUGGGCUCUCAAUGUAGUGUCCACAGUCAAUUCCCUCGAAUCGAAUUCAUCAGGGUUCAUGUUCAUUUCCUUCCAGAAGCUUCCGUAAAUGCUUCACUAUCUCUGCUUCCUCUUUCGCCAACGAAAAUCGGGAGUUUGGCAUAGUAGCAGGUGGAAAUGCAGCAGGAUAUGCGGCUAGAACUUUUGUCGAGCACGGAUUGGCUAAUGGAAAGCUUUGCAUUGUCUCCAAAGAGGUAAUUUCAGAUUUUUUAGUUUGGUUGAAUUAAUAUUUGUACUCUUAUUUGAUUGAUAAUCAUAGUAAAAUUUCUUGAAAAAAAAAAAAAAACAAUUUGGAGAGGGAAUGAAAAGUGCCCACAUUGUUGAGUUUCUUUACAAUGGCAAAAAUGUUAAGGAUAUUUUCAUAGUAUCUUCUUACCUUUCAGAAAAAAAAAAUGAAAAAGAAAAAAUUCAUAAUAUUCUUCUUACAUCCUUCUCUUCACUGAUUCUCUUCUGUUUCUGUUACAUUUUAUUGAAUGAGAAAUCUCCAUAAAAGGAGAGGAUGAAUUACUCCAUUAAAGGAGGAAAAUUACACUCCAAAAUAGGAGGAAAUGCACUCCAAAGAAGGAGGGAAAAUAAACCUCCAUGAAAGGGAGGGAUUGGAAGAAGAAAUUCCAAUCAGCUACAAUGCGUACAAGGCUUGUAUUUAUAGACAAGAAGACUAGCUAUCUAACUACUAACAUAACUACCAACUAAUUAACAACUGUAGGAAGAAUCUGUGGAAGCUGGAGACAGCUAGGAGAAUCCGUGUGAGAUAAAUCUGGUCCGUUCAAUCUGGAGUGGAAUCUGGUUGAGGUUAAUUUGGUGCAAUUCUAAUAGUUUCCGCAUUCUUUCAGUUUCUCCCAUUGUAAAACUACCGCGUUCUUUCAGUUGCUCCCAUUGUAAAAUCCUGCCAGAUAGAAAAUGAGAGGUGGAGAGGGGGAAGUGGGUUUGUAAUAUAGGGAUGACUCAGAGAAUUGAGUUUUGAAACGACAGAUGUGAACGAUAAUGAUACAACAAGUUCACAUAAUCUUCAGUGUACUCUCCAAACUUGUUGAGCUUGUCGAUAAACUGAAUUAAAUGAAUAAUCUCCAUUGUACUCACUGAGCUUGUAAACGGAAGAUCCGCUAAAUUUAAGUUUCAAUGAUUUGAUAGUAGAAGAAAUUUUACCAAUAAUAUUAGUAGGGUGUUUGGUGGGGAUAAAAUUAGAUUUUUUAGUAGAUUGAUAUAGAAGUUUUUGAAAUGUGUGAUUGAAAGUUACGGGACCCAUGAAAGAUAUGAUUAAUAUUAAUUGUUUAAAUUAAAAUUAAAUUUUAGUCCAAAUCAAACGGGCUGACGAACAUAUGUAUGAUUCUAUUUGCAAAUUAGUAGGUUGUAGCUUCAAUAAGGUGAUGCAACCAUUAAAGUAAUGUUAUUAAUUGUUGUUUCUGUUUUGUUUAUGACUUCCAUUUUCUCAUGAGCCUUUCCUUUAUUAGAACAACUACAAUGUGAGUUUUUUUUUUUUUAAAUAUUAUUUUGUGAACAAGUUAUUUAGUCAUUUUCCUGUACAUUAUAGGUUCAUUUCAUCCCAUCAAGACUCCAAACCACCCAUCAUCCAUUUUUUUGUGUGUGUGUCUACAUUGAAUAUGUUUUAAUGUUCGACUUAAUCAUCAUGUUUGUGUCUGUAGUGGACACGUUUAAUUGUUUGACUUAGUCAUCAUGUUUGUGACUAUAUUGGACAUGUUUUAAUGUUUAA
RNA transcript from Olea europaea var. sylvestris, 1875 nucleotides. It is a transcript of the gene named monodehydroascorbate reductase, chloroplastic/mitochondrial-like, with no coding region annotated. NCBI's taxonomy places the organism in Eukaryota, Viridiplantae, Streptophyta, Magnoliopsida, Lamiales, Oleaceae. The record is from RefSeq and is a predicted model, not a curated record. The transcript is spliced from 2 exons.